Long non-coding RNA from Lampris incognitus (smalleye Pacific opah), 480 nucleotides. RefSeq lists it as uncharacterized. Lineage: Eukaryota; Metazoa; Chordata; Actinopteri; Lampriformes; Lampridae. The transcript has 3 exons. The record is from RefSeq and is a predicted model, not a curated record.
GGGGUUGAGACAGUGAGAGACUGAAAGGAAAGAAACAGAGGAGAAGAGAGAGUGAGACGGAGAGAGGCUGAAGCCUGUGGGAGACCCUUCUCCGCAACGUGGGAAAGUGGUGGCUUACACACAAAGCGGGAUCUGGACCAAGACACCAGGCAGGAGGAUGUGGAGGAGAGCAAUAUGUGAGGUUACAAAGAAGAUGAGGCCCACUGCUGUGCCUCCACUCUCUACGUCUUAAGGCACUCAUCAGUGUGACAGAUGACAUUGACAGACAGAUGCUGGAAAACAGACCACCACCCCACCACACCCAAAGGCAUUUGUCUUUCACCCCCUGUUUGUUCUUACAUGGAUCAAAUGCUGGAAGAUGUAAGGCAGAUGUCAGACUGUCUGCUGACUUGGCUCAGUCACCCAACUGUGGGGAUGAGACUGACUUGCACUCAGUCCGUAUCCAUACACAUACAUACUUCAGUCAAGAGAUCAUCAUAA